This 255-nucleotide ribosomal RNA is filed under the name uncultured bacterium. RNAcentral describes it as "partial 16S ribosomal RNA". It matches the Rfam family "Bacterial small subunit ribosomal RNA", at positions 524 to 776 of the family's 1533-position model. The record is from RNAcentral.
UACGUAGGCAGCGAGCGUUGUUCGGAGUUACUGGGCGUAAAGGGUGUGUAGGCGGUUGCUUAAGUUUGGUGUGAAAUCUCCCCGGCUUAACCGGGAGGGUGCGCCGAAUACUGAGUGACUAGAGUGCGGGAGAGGAGAGUGGAAUUCCUGGUGUAGCGGUGAAAUGCGUAGAUAUCAGGAGGAACACCGGUGGUGUAGACGGCUCUCUGGACCGUAACUGACGCUGAGACGACGAAAGCGUGGGUAGCAAACAGG